GCGGAAGCGUGCUGGGCCCAUAAC
This 24-nucleotide non-coding RNA is filed under the name Gallus gallus (chicken). RNAcentral also lists the same sequence under 4 other names. Lineage: Eukaryota; Metazoa; Chordata; Aves; Galliformes; Phasianidae. The record is from RNAcentral.